CUAGAAGAAAUUGCUAGAGAAGAUUGAAGUUAUUCUUACGCUUGACAUUACUAAUGUCUGCAGGGAUGCCUCUUUGAUGGCGAUGAGGCGGCGUAUUAACGGUUUAAGCCCUGAAGAGAUCCGUGCGCUAUCUAAAGAAGAACUUCAAAUGCCUGUCACCAAGGGGGACUUUGACCUAGCUCUGAAGAAAAUCUCUAAGUCUGUCUCGGCUGCGGAUUUGGAGAAAUAUGACAAGUGGAUGGCAGAAUUUGGAUCUGCUUAACCUUGGGGAUGUCUCUUCCCAGCGGAUUGUAGCUUUCCCAUUUUAGAAUGUUAACAAGGCAUAGAGAUCUUCAAGUUUAACUAUGGACAAGAGACCCCUUUUAAACCUUUUUUUUUUUGCACUUUAAAGGGAACAAAAUAAAAAUAUUACACAGUGAGAUCAUGGUAUUUCAUGGAUAACUACUGAAACCUGUGAAACGUAGCAAGGGAAACCCUCUGCAUUUGAGGCUGCCUGCACUUUAACUGCGAACGCCAGUGUCCUGAUUUUCACGUGCUAAUCUUUCAAGGCUGUUAUCUGCCCACCAGAUAUGGGAUUGUGCGGGGGGGGGGGGGGGGGGGAGCCUUCAGCCUGCUUUUGAUAUAUGCUUGUGAUGCUAGGACAUAGUGUAUGCCUAGUUAUAACUCCAUUUCAUGCCACUCGAAUGUAAAUCGCAAGUUUUUAUUCUGCAUUUCUCCCUCCAUUAGGGAGUUCUUCAGUAUGAUCUAAGAUUAGAACAAAAUACUGAGGUUUGCUUUACACUGCAGUCAUGUUGCCAUGGCUACACUGGUAUUUGCUGGAACACAAUUAAACACCAUACUGUAAAAGGGAGACUCGUGUCUCUGUGCAAUAGAUAUAUGUUCAUUGCUGUGACCAGCUGUACCUCUUUGAUGCAUUCCGUUGCUGCAUGGAAAUUUAAGUUUCCCUCUCAUGUUUAUUGCAGCUAGCUUGGGUUUAACCGUGGCCACCGUAAUUGUUGUGUAAAGUGUGAAGCAGCAGUGGAGACCUUUUAAAAAAGCAGGUAAUGAUGCAAAAAUCUCAGGGCUGAUUUUCCUGUUAUUUCCAUUUUAUACUGGUGUUACAUACAUUGCUUUUAUGGAAUACAGUGCCAUUCGAUUUGUCACUCGUGACACCAUUUUAAGCAAGAGGGAAGAUUUAGCUUGCAGUCUUUUGGCUCGCUUGAGGCCUGCUUCAUUCUGGAGGUUACAGGGGAUUAACCUGCCAAUGCUAAAUUAAACCAGUGCAGAUCUUGCUCUGGGUGGCCAGCCUGUCUUUUGCUUUUAGAAUACCUUUUCCUUUUGUCAGUUGCAUCUUUGAUGCAGUAUGGGAUACUGAAGUGAAACACAGGGCAACCUAAAUUUGAAAGCAUAGAUCGAUCGUUUUUUUGCAUCUAAGAAUAUUCUGUUCCCUACCACUUAGUACAUCUAGAGUUGUCUAACAUUUUUGUGUGUUUCUACACAUUUUAGCAUUUUGCCCUUCAAAUACGAUCAUUUCAACAUAUCUGGUACAUAUGAAAGGGUUGUUUUAAUUGUAAUUGGGCCCUCAAAGAUGUAAUGCAAAAUUGGCUUUUUAAAGUGAUUAUGCUUAGGUAAAUGCAGGUAUGGAAUUGGUUAUCCAAAUUAUUUUUAGUGAAAAAUCCCUGAUCAGAAUUACCAAUGGGUCCUGUUUUUAGAUUCAGCUCCAAAAAACCUGUAGACUGCCAAGUCCAAGCUACCAUUUCCACUUGAAUAAGUUAUUUAAUUCCUAGAGUACCAGUUGUUGUGCUUAAAUGAGAUCUAUCUAGCUAUUUUGUGAAUUAAUUGUUUAACUGACCAAUAGUUGUUUCCUUGUAUUUUGGCAGCCUACCCCACAAAAUAAUUUGUGUUUGAAAAGUUUUCAUUUUGGGUUUAAAAAACGGCGUUUUUAAAGUGUCCAGCUUGCUGAUUCAGUAUUCUUUAUUCUUGGCACCUGCAAGCUACAUGGGAAUUUUACUAGUAGACCAAGGACUAACACAAUCUACGUGGGUGAUCUAGUCUUAUGGUGUGUGGCCUGUUACACAGCUGGUUUUUGCAAUUGUUUUGUCUUAGAUUCUUUACUUGUUUCUAUUUGUAUUUUAUUUUAUUUUUUGCACAGAAGGCAUCUUGAGUUGAGACUGUGAAUAGUACAUUGUGUUUCCAACAAAUGGCAUCUGUACCUUGAGAGGAAGUAAUCACAAUAAAUGUCCUAAUGAUGA
Long non-coding RNA from Sphaerodactylus townsendi, 2231 nucleotides. RefSeq lists it as uncharacterized. Lineage: Eukaryota; Metazoa; Chordata; Lepidosauria; Squamata; Sphaerodactylidae. The record is from RefSeq and is a predicted model, not a curated record. The transcript has 2 exons.